UGUCUUUAUGGCAAAUGUGAGAUGCAGUGUAUGGAAUGUCAAAUUUCUAGUAUGAGAAAUUAACGAUUUAAGUCCUUCUUAAAUGAGGCCAUUUACCCAAAGAGGGUGCCAGGCCCGUAUAACGUUAAUGAUUACUAGAUGACAUUUCCAAAGAGUCGUGUUGCUUGAUAGUGCAGCACUAAGUGGGUGGUAAACUCCAUCUAAAACUAAAUAUAACCAUGAGACCGAUAGUAAACAAGUACCGUGAGGGAAAGUUGAAAAGAACUCUGAAUAGAGAGUUAAAUAGUACGUGAAACUGCUUAGAGGUUAAGCCCGAUGAACCUGAAUAUCCAUUAUGGAAAAUUCAUCAUUAUGAUUUUAAUAUUUAUAAUAUUAUAAUAAUGGUGUGCAUUUUUUCCAUAUAAGGACAUUGUAAUCUAUUAACAAUACAAAAUUUAUCAUAAGAUCAAUUGCUUUAGUUUAUUCAAAUUAUUUUGCUUGCAAUUUAACAUAGAAUAAAUGCUUUUGAUUUGAUAAAGUGUUGAUAGAUUUAUUAUAUAUAGUGCUUGAAUAUAUUUUUAUAUAUUCUGUAAUAACGUAUUGAUCAAUGAUUUUUAUGUUCAUUACAUGCACUUAUAUGAUUAACAAUGCGAAAGAUUCAGGAUACCUUCGGGACCCGUCUUGAAACACGGACCAAGGAGUCUAACAUAUUUGCAAGUUAUUGGGAAUUAAAAACCUAAUAGCAAAAUUAACAUAACUUAUAUAAUGGGAUUAAUUUUUAGUUCUAUUUUUAAUAGUCUAUUAAUUCAAUCCCGGGGCGUUCUAUGCAGUUAUGCAUAAUAAUAUUUAUAUUAUUUAUGCCUCUAACUAGAGCGUACCUUGAGCAUAUAUGCUGUGACCCGAAAGAUGGUGAACUAUACUUGAUCAGGUUGAAGUCAGGGGAAACCCUGAUGGAAGACCGAAACAGUUCUGACGUGCAAAUCGAUUGUCAGAAUUGAGU
RNAcentral lists this ribosomal RNA (979 nucleotides) under Neorthacheta dissimilis. RNAcentral's name for it is "eukaryotic LSU rRNA". It matches the Rfam family "Eukaryotic large subunit ribosomal RNA", at positions 122 to 916 of the family's 3401-position model. Lineage: Eukaryota; Metazoa; Arthropoda; Insecta; Diptera; Scathophagidae. The record is from RNAcentral.